CUACGGGUCGCAGCAGUGGGGAAUAUUGCACAAUGGGCGCAAGCCUGAUGCAGCCAUGCCGCGUGUAUGAAGAAGGCCUUCGGGUUGUAAAGUACUUUCAGCGGGGAGGAAGGGAGUAAAGUUAAUACCUUUGCUCAUUGACGUUACCCGCAGAAGAAGCACCGGCUAACUCCGUGCCAGCAGCCGCGGUAAUACGGAGGGUGCAAGCGUUAAUCGGAAUUACUGGGCGUAAAGCGCACGCAGGCGGUUUGUUAAGUCAGAUGUGAAAUCCCCGGGCGCAACCUGGGAACUGCAUCUGAUACUGGCAAGCUUGAGUCUCGUAGAGGGGGGUAGAAUUCCAGGUGUAGCGGUGAAAUGCGUAGAGAUCUGGAGGAAUACCGGUGGCGAAGGCGGCCCCCUGGACGAAGACUGACGCUCAGGUGCGAAAGCGUGGGGAGCAAACAGGAUUAGAUACCCUUGUAGUC
RNAcentral lists this ribosomal RNA (464 nucleotides) under uncultured bacterium. Its description in RNAcentral is "partial 16S ribosomal RNA". It matches the Rfam family "Bacterial small subunit ribosomal RNA", at positions 339 to 795 of the family's 1533-position model. The record is from RNAcentral.